UUCGAAUCCCGCUGAGAAAAUUUUUGUCGACAUCAUCUUCCUGUUACUUACCUCUCCGUAUUUUUCUCUCCGCUAAAAACCUCUUCCCUCUUCUUUCUCGGUUUCAUUCUUCUCGAUUGAAACCUCUUCUUUGUUCUUGAUUUUUAUCAUCUUCAUCAAUUCCCCACACUAAUAUGAAAUGAUUGAAUUAAUUCUAGAUUGUUUCAUAUUUUUAUCAUCUUCUCACAACAACAAAUACCCCAGAAGUUCAAAUCAAAACCUAGAAUCCAAAGUUCUGAGAGAGUUUGAUAAAUGGGGUGAACUGAUUGAAUUAAAUUUACAGUCAAUUUGAAAAUCUCAAUUUGGGGUUAAGGCUUUCCGUUUCAGUUAGGGUUUCCGAAGAUUUUCUUUCCACUUCAAAGGGCCUGACGAUGCUCAUUGUCUUCUGCUAAAUCGUUGAAGCAAGAAACGAUGGUAAUGGAGGGUAAAAAGAGAUCUUCAGUUACACAAUCGUCGUAUUUCACAAAAGGCUAAAUAAUUGAGUGAAACGGAAAGAGAAGAGAUUCUUAAAAAACGACGUGAUGCUUAUUAUUUGCGGACAAUACGAGAUAGACAUGCGAAUAAAGAUGGGAAGGAAACAUCAACUUGUUCUGGUGAGUAAGGCAUGAAGCUUAUUUGUAUUCAGAUGGUUUUCUAUUUUCUGUUAUUAGGCCCAUUCUACAAAUCCAUUCCUUAUUACCCCACUUAUACAUACUUAUUGCAGACAUCUGCUUAAAGGUUUGUUGUGGAGAUGCCCUAGAAUGCUCUCUUUUGAAGCAUCAAUUACUUAUCAUUUCUUAUCAGUCAUGACAAACUUUACACAUCUUAAAAUCGUGCACUUCCCCAGCUUCUAGGGUCACAAUUGGAGAACGAUUUUAAUUGAUGGACUAGGUUAGCUAACCUGAGAGCUGGCGAUCUGACUAAUGGUCCCUGUCUCUUUCAAAAUACAGGCUUUAUAUUGGAGUGUCGAUAAGUUAAUGUCAUAUGCUGUCCUUCCCUCCAACCAGUUACUUUGUAUGAACUGAACUAAACCAGAUCAACCUUUUGUUGUUCUACACAUCCCCACCUCUGUAUGUAAUUUGCCACACAUUUCUAACACAAGUUUAUGCCAACUUGAUUUACUUUUUCUUUAAAAAUGAUGAUUUUCUUAUCAUUUCUUAUUAUCUUUUCUUAUGGAGUUUCAAUUUUCUUUUUUUAAUAAAAGAUUUGCAUUUUAGGCCCA
Molecule: long non-coding RNA, 1240 nt
Organism: Papaver somniferum (opium poppy)
Lineage: Eukaryota; Viridiplantae; Streptophyta; Magnoliopsida; Ranunculales; Papaveraceae
Exons: 2
Source: RefSeq, a predicted model, not a curated record